AUCAACCAUUUUCAGCCAUGCCCAGUUCCCAUUAUAAAAUCUGUAAAGAUUUGUGUAAACGUGUGUGUAAAUAAAGUUUUUUUUUAUUUUGUUCCCCCACUGUGAUGUCAUAAUGGAAGGUGAACAGAUCUCCACACAGGAGAGCAGCCAUCACUCUGGAGCAUCUUCUACAGCAGCAAGGUAGUCUGAAGAACCAUGUCAAAACUGCUGGCCGCCUGACAAAGAGAUCUGCGGAGUGUCGGCUCUCCGGCAAAGAUAUUCGCAGAGUGUCGGGAUCCCAGCAGAGGUCUGAAGAUUGUAACCUGCAGAUGGACAUUUGUGAUCAUCCAUUUACUUUUAUUUUUUCAUUUAAUUUUGCCCCAUCCACAAGAUAGGAUUAACCUCUUAAUGCCCAGAGGGAAGGGCAAUUCUUCCAGCCAUGCAAGGUAGUCUGAAGAACCAUGUCAAAACUGCUGGCCGCCUGACAAAGAGAUCUGCGGAGUGUCGGCUCUCCGGCAAAGAUAUUCGCAGAGUGUCGGGAUCCCAGCAGAGGUCUGAAGAUUGUAACCUGCAGAUGGACAUUUGUGAUCAUCCAUUUACUUUUAUUUUUUCAUUUAAUUUUGCCCCAUCCACAAGAUAGGAUUAACCUCUUAAUGCCCAGAGGGAAGGGCAAUUCUUCCAGCCAUGGUCCCUCAUAGGUUUCCUCCAAAGAGGGGGUUUUUCCUAUACUGCGUGCUGGUGAAUGACUCUUUGUGAGUCCAGAGGUGGCCCCCCCUUGACCUGCUUUAGGGUCGAUUAAAUAGAAAAAAAUUGAUUAUAUAAUAAAGUCUAUUAAUAAUCUAAUAAUCGGUGUUUGUGAAUUUUUCUUCCAAGUAGUUCAACUCCUUAUUUGCUUUUAAUUGUCAUUUUCCAAUUAAAGAAGGAUAAACAA
Molecule: long non-coding RNA, 910 nt
Organism: Spea bombifrons (plains spadefoot toad)
Lineage: Eukaryota; Metazoa; Chordata; Amphibia; Anura; Pelobatidae
Exons: 2
Source: RefSeq, a predicted model, not a curated record